GUAAUGAAGUUUCGAGAAUAUAAAUGAAGUGAUUCGCAUCAAUGGAAUCAUAUCAGAAUAGCAUCUGCAAAGCUAAGCAUUCAGUUGAUAAUUCAUUUUGAAUCCGAAUAAAUCAUUUCAAUUUAUUAAAAUGAACAGCAAGACGGCUUUAAUUGUCCUAACUCUAUGCAUCAUUUUCGCCGAGCACGUUAUUUCCCGACGUUGCCACAGUGAAACUGGGAGAAACCGACGAGAAAGGAAUGGUGGUCUAUUCCGUCAAGACGGUAGAUUCGAUCGAUUCUAUCCAGGCGGUGGAUUUGGACCAAGAAUUCCAAUUCCAAAUUCAUCAAAUAUUUCCCAAACUGGACUGCCAAGUACACAGCCACUUGGAGGACAGAAUGGACAAUUCCCACCAAUACCGAUUGCUGCUAAUCUAACUCAAAAUGGACAAAAUAAUACACCAGUUUUACCUCAACCAAUACGUCCAACAGUAUGAAGAAUAUCUCAAUCAAAAAUACUAAGAUAACAGAACAAUAUCUUCUACAUAUUACUUUUUCUCUUCGCCUGCAGGCUAAAUUUCAUUUUGUUUUUAUUAUUCUAGAUAUUUGCAAUUCUUGUUCAAUUAAUUCAAAACAAGUUGAUUUAAUAAAAUAAAAAACUUCAAAAUUCAGCUGAAAGAAGAGUAUUUGCAUUUAAAUUAUUUCCCUCAAACGAUCAUAUCUAGUGCGGAAUUCAUCCGAAUCAUUAACGAGGAUCGUUUAUUGUUAUUUUCAACCAUGAACAAUUUCGAAAGAAUACUCAAACAAUACGUUUUAUCAACACACAAAAAACGAUCACCCAUUUUCGUUUAUUUUUCUACAGAAAACACAGCUGCCUCUGAGAAAACACGUAAAUAUAUGUAUUGACAUUUAAAUGAAUGUGAUCGACUGCAACUCUUUAUCAAGAAUAUACGUCGUACAUCGCACGUGUGCAAAUCGAUGAGCCGAUAAUGACGGAAUGAAAUGAAUACGAUUGCGUUUUUAUCAGUUGACAAAUUUUGAUUGCGUCUUAAUCGGAGAGGCUAUUCUCAUCGAGUUUUCGUUAAUUAAUGACGAAACCAUCAUCUUGGAUGUGAGCUUUUUCAGAACAUGACUGUCGAUUAUUACGUUGCACUUAAAAAAUACGUACAACAAUAAAAUUUCUGGCACUCUGCCUACAAAACAUGGAAAGUAAAAAAAAGGAAGUUGAAGACAAUGUAUAAACACGUUGAUUCAUAUGAUAACGUUGCAUUGUUCUUAGCCGCGACCUAUAUGUGAAAUGGUGAUCCGAAGAAAAUGCAUACAUAUAUUUUUGUCAAUUUCGAGUGAGAAAUCUUUGUUUCCAGAAUAAAUGCGUAGAUUUUAAAGCUGAUUAGAAAUGUAGACCAAAAUAAAAAUGUUGACUUCAAUUUGAAAAAAAUUCACCAUUAGGUUGUACAUCUAGCUGGUUUUUAAUCAUUUUUAUGCUCUUAAUCUUGAUCAAUGUCGCAAUCGAAAAAUUUGAAUAUUCAGAGAGAUUUCAGUGUAUAAAUAAAACAUCAGAUAACAUGGUAGUUGCAGUUUUCCCUCAGACGAACAUUGCAUAUUCGGUUCACGAAAAUGGCUAAAGCGGUGUUGGCCUUUCUUAUUUUAUCGUUCUUUGCAUUCGAGCUUUCGGUGGAAGCUUUUAUUACGUUGGAGGUUUUGGUGAAGAAAUGUAAAUGCGCUAAUUUUGAAUACGGCAUCCAACCAGUAGUGUGCCAACUGUUGAACAUCUCAACCCACGAUGAAUACGACUACAUGACUUUUCCCCCAGCGGACUACGACAGCCAUAAUGAUAAUUAAUAUAAACUCUCAUCUAAUUAUCCACCACUAUGGGAAAAUUUGUUAUAGCUCAAAAUCGAUUAAACGCUGAUCGACUUGAUAGUUCAUAAUAAUAAAAUAAGUUUGAAACACAAAAAGAAUGAUCGAUCAAUUAGCAUUUAGCUACGUGCAUCAAUUGUUUUGUAUUUCUUGCAGAAAGAUUCAUAUCACAAGUGAGAAAUUGGAAAAAAAAGUUAGAUAAAUUGAGUGAACAAUAAAAAUAUGAAUUUAUUUCCUUGAUGUAAUCGUACAAACUUUUUUUUCUACAUUCCCUGAACAAAGCUCCCAUCUGAAAAAUUGUAAGAGUCGCCACCAUAUAAAAGGGACAUGAUUUUCUAUUGCAUUCAGAGUUACUUCGCAAUUAUUCAUUGCGCGCUUUUGAGUUAUAUUCUUGAGGAAGUUGAUUACAGUAAAGGCCAGAAAAUGAUGAAAUUAUUUUGGGCCCUUUUUAUUUUAACGCUCUCCGCCUACCAGGCCACCGAAGGAUUUUUCUUUAAUAUCCCAUUUUUGUGUCAGAAUAAUACCGCUCUGUCCUUCAUUAAGCCAUUCUUCUGCAGCACUUCACUUGAACCAACCGAUUUUCUGUCGGAAAUUGAGCCACCCACUUUGUAGAUGAAGCUUCGAAAUAUGGAUUUUGGAUUGUACAAUCGAAUGAAAAUAAAAUGUAGCAAAGCAUGUUAUUGAGCAAAGCAAA
Molecule: RNA transcript, 2532 nt
Organism: Sitodiplosis mosellana (orange wheat blossom midge)
Lineage: Eukaryota; Metazoa; Arthropoda; Insecta; Diptera; Cecidomyiidae
Exons: 4
Source: RefSeq, a predicted model, not a curated record